Non-coding RNA from Vigna umbellata (rice bean), 824 nucleotides. The record is from RefSeq and is a predicted model, not a curated record. Lineage: Eukaryota; Viridiplantae; Streptophyta; Magnoliopsida; Fabales; Fabaceae.
AUCCUUUUUCAAAUUAGUUUUAGUUUAAUUUCAAUUGGAGGCAUGUGUUUCAUUGUAAAUCUCAAUAUAAAUUUUUUUAUUAUUUUGGAAAAAUUUAAUUGAAGUAUGUCGUGUUUUAUUUCUUCUAGCUUCAUUGGACGCCUUGUACCCCAUUCAAAAUGUGCUGCCAUCUUUUGUGGGUUAUAGGAUUGUAAUUGAGAUGCUUGAAGUGAAAAUUAGAGAAUUUGUGUGCAAUUUCAACACUGUAUUGGAAGAGAUAUCAUUAUCCAAACAAAAUCUUUCCACGCCUCUUGAUUGUAUGAAAAAUCGUAAAUUUGAUAUUGGUUUAGUGAUAGAGAGAAUCCAAGAUUCAAUAUCAGAAGAGGAUAAGAGGUUGAUCUAUCUUGGAGAUGGAAGUGGAGACUAUUGUCCAAGUUUGAGGUUGAAAGAGAAGGACUUUAUGAUGCCAAGGAAGAACUUUCCAUUGUGGGAUCUGAUAUGCAGAGAUCCUUCACUUCUUAAGGCUGAGUUUCAUGGUUGAAGACUAUUCUCCCUUCAUUUCCUCUUAUUGCAAGCUUCAGACUCUGCCAGUCACUGCUCAUGAGGCUUUGCCCAAAGCUCUACCAGUUCGACCAUAGAUUCAUGGUUUUGUAACUUUUGCAAUGGACCAAAGUAGAAUAUAACAUGACUAAUUUUUGUCUCAAUAGUAUAAUAGUAUAUAUUGCAUAGUCAGUUACCUCUGCCUUGAUUUCUGUAAUAUCCGAUGACAAUCUAGUUACAAUGAGGUAGGACCAUCCAGUUGUAAACAUCACGUUUUAAUAAAAAUUGAGAAAUAUUUGGUAUUA